CUGAUUUUUGUUGAACAAUUAGAAAAUACUUUAAAGUUAUUGAAAACUUGGAGGAGGUCGUAAUUAUCAGAAACACAUAAUACACCUAAACAUAAAUUAAGGCCUUUGUUUUAAAAUUAGAUUUUGGAGCAAGAAAAUAAGCUAAAUAAUUAUGUUCUUGAAAUAUAGGUAAGUACAAAAAGUGUGCUCUGAAUACAAAAUAUAUAUUUUUAGAAUCUUAAAUCCAUGAGUUACUUCUUUUCACAUACAAAUCCCAACAUCUUGUUUCUGUAAUCAGUUCAUGUCUAUUAGGUUCGUAGUUAUGUGAAUUGUGUGAAUGCUCAUGAACACCAAAUCAUUUGGUCAAUCUUAGGAGUUUUUUGGCACUUGUAUGCUCUCUUUGGGGUUAAACACAGCCUCCUUUAAGUUAGAGAAGUAACUGCCAAUUAACUACCUUUGGUAAGACUAUCAUAGUAAUACAGGGAGCUGUACGUUACAUUAACCAAGAAUCUUUCUCCUGUAAAAUGUGCCUACAGUGUUUUCCAUGGAGAUCACCUGUUACCAAGUUGUGAGUAAAUUCAAACCUGUCCUCAUUUAAAAUACUCCGUUCAUAUUAAAACAUGAGAUGUUUCCUCCUUUGAAGCCAGACUGUGAAAAGAUCUGAUUGAGACUCUUUCGAAUGUUUUUCAUAGAGAAAAUUAAGACAAAUUUAAACAAAUGUCAGUUUCUGAGAAAUUGCAGGGUGUAAUCUAUUCUAGAGUAUCAUUCACGAACAAGACAGUUUCCUACUUACGGGUUUGGGCAGUUCAGCCUGUAUAACUUACAGAGGUAAGUUCUGAAGUUCAGGCAUAAAUGGAUCCUGUGAAUUUUCACAAAAUAUUUCUGAAAGUCCCUUGAGAAAAAUAAACUCCAGCUAGUAGCCAGCAGUUUGUGCUCCAGAAGACUCCAUAUAAACCUGGUAUAGUCAAGAAGUGUCUUUCUUACUUUUCCUCUGAGAAGUAUAAAAAAGGAGGAGGUAAUUGUCCCUCAUAGGCCAACCAACACCAUCCCAAAGCCAAAUGUUCUUGGUUCAUAUCGCCAGAAUUCUAGGGUUUUUUUUCAAAAAUUAGAAAUACCAAAAUUUUAUUCCAAGGGGUCAUGAUAUUUUUUUUUAACAUUUAUUUAUUUUUGAGAGAAAGAGACAGAGCAUGAGUGGGAGAGGGACAGAGAGAGAGGGAGACACAGAAUUGGAAGCAAGCUCUGGGCUCUGAGCUGCAGCACAGAGCCUGAUGCGGGGCUUGAAGUCACAAGCAGUGAGAUCAUGACCUGAGCUAAAGUCAGACGCUUAACUGACUGAGCCACCCAGGCACCCCUGGGUCAUGAUAUAUUUUCAUGUAAGCGCAGAAACUAUGAGAAUGAAUCAAGGCUUAAAGCACAGAAACAUAAAGUGUAAACUAGAUUAAGACAGAUAAUAUUACUAAAUUCAUUAUUGCAGAUGACAUUAAGAACAGCCUUGCUGUUACCACAGAUGGCAUAGCAAUUAACUCAGUGUAUCAAAACACAGCUAUACUCUUAUAAGUAAUGUAAUAAUGACAUUUGAAAUGUUUUCUUUUUCGUGAAAAAGAUUCAUUUGGGUAGUGUUUUCCUCCUCUCAACUUUAAACUUCUUGACGAGAAGAACAGUAUUUCAUUCAUCUUGUGGUAAACCUCCCUUACCAUGCUGCCUUAGACAUAAUAGCUAUUCACCCAUAUUUACUAUAUUCAGUUGAAUUGUAUAAAUCUGAGUUUAAAAUGUUUGAUAUAUAUUCAAACAUUUCUAUAUUCAGCAUACUAGUACAAAUUAUAAAGGCUUUCUUGAAAACUGGCUAAAGCAUAUUUAGCUGUUAAGAUUCUAGGGGAAAAUGUGAUUAGAUGUGAACCUCCUCCACAAUAUAGAAUAGCUAUAGGCUCCAAGAUAAAAUAAUGAUUUUCUCAUUUUACAGUACAUUUAUGAAAUGCCUAUUACAAUUAUGUACUUUCUGAAAAUUGGUUAUAAUAAAGAGAUCCUGGCCAUUAUAAAAUUUUCACCUAGUCAUAGGCAAAAUAAAUGAGAGAAUUACAGUGAUUCAAAUAUAGAAAGCAUUUAAAUUGGAAAAAAGGGGAAUUUGUACUUUUAAAACAUCAUAGUGUUCAUUUCUCAUAUUCUGUAUGGAAUAAUAUGGAAAGAUAAUAUUUUCCUUUGCAGAUGCUUAAGUUUAGAUAUAUGUUUAGGAUUGUAAUCAUCUUUGUUAAGUACCAGUUAACAUUUAUUGUUGAAUAUUUAUAGGUAACGCCACUAAUUUAUAUAUGCCUUAAGAGUAGUGAUAAACUGUGUAGAGUAGUGAUUUACCAAUUAUCCCUUCAAGAAUUUCUGAUAAUUUGCUAGUUUUCACAAGUUUGGGUGAGGAUACCCUAAUGAUGACUUAAAAUCUGUAUGUCAAAAUAUAUGGGUUAAAAAUAAAAAAGCACCGUUAAGUCAGCAGUGUUCAGGAAUCCAAGAAGUAUGUAAUCAUGGAAGUGUUUGUAGUAAGAACAUUAGGAUUGCUAUAUACAUAUUUAAUGUAAAAAAAAGAAGAAAGAAUGAAAGCAUUUUAAAUAUUCAAGUGCCCCAUGUUAUAUCUUUUUUAAGCUGUGAAAACAAUUAAUACUAAGUAUUAAAAUAAAUGGGACCUAGAAAUAGACCUUAAUAUUUCAAUACUCAGUAAUAUCUCUAACUAGUAAGCCAACAUUUUUGAAAAUAAAAAGGCAUACUAAUUAUGUUGCUCUUUCUAAAAAAGAGUAUUACAUUGUUGAGUAAAGAACAGUUUUAUAUAAAUAAUUAAAUUUAAGUAUCUAAAAUAGUGUUUCAUUUAUUUCUCAUACUUUUAACUAUCUUUGUUUUUAACAAAUAUCUAUUAAUGUAAUAGCACAUUAUGUAAUAUAUAAAUAUAUAGAUAUAAGUAUAGAUACGAGCAUUUACUGUAUAUAUGCACUCUCAUAUAUAAAAAUUUACUGAUAAAAUUGUAAAAUCGGAAGUCUGGCAACCCCUGCUCUUGGUAACUGAGUGGUGCAGUAAAGCCAGCCCUAAGAAAAAUCUAUGAAAUAGAUGACGUUUCUCUUUCAUGCAUAAUUAACAUCAUUCCAGCUGUGGCUCCUAUUCUCCUGGUGGUUAUCUAGGAUUCUUCUAAUUGCUCUUAAUUAUACCAUUAUAUAGUCUUAAGUGCUCAAAAUAGACACUUAAGGGAAUUAUCAUUGUAAAUUACCAUUUCAUGACUGAUUUAUGUAUUCAUUGACAUCUACUAUUUGUCAGGAACAUUCUAGUCUGUGAGCAGUGAAUACAACAGACAAAAACUCUGCCCUCCUAGAGCUUAUAUUCAAGUUAGAAAAGAGAAAAAUUGAUUAGGAAAGUAUAUGAAAUGUAGUAUGUUAGAUGGUUAUAAAUGCUAAGGAGAAAAAUAGAGCUUAGAGGGGAAAAGAAAGAGUGAUGGCAAGUGGAUGGUACUAUAACUUUAGGUAAAAUAUUCUGAGAACUGAACAUACUAUAGGAGCAAAGCAUAUGGAUAUCUUGGGCAAAAGGGUUAGGGCAAGAAAAAGCAGCUACAAAUGUCCUAAAACAUGAGGAUGCCUAGUAUGUCAAAGAAACAUUCGGGAUGGGAUGUGUGAGGGGGAGAGUAGAAGGAGAUGGGGAGGUCAAAGAUACUGUAGAACUUUAGGCCACUGUAAUUUCUUUGCAUUUUUCCACAGUGAAAUGGGAGGCCGUUGGGGUGUUUUGAGCACAAAAGUAUAAUUAUCUGAUUUGUAUUUUAGGAAGAUGAAUGUGAUCAUUACAUCGAUCCCAGAUUAGAAGGGGACAAGGGCAGAAAUAAGGAGACCAAAGGCUUUGCGAUCAUUGGGCCAGCAGAUAGAUGGCUUAGACUAGAGUGGCAGAAGUGGAGGUAAUGACAGGUGAUUUGGUUCUGGAUAUAUGUAUACAAAAAGCCAAAAAAUAUGUGUUAGUAGGGGCGCCUGGGUGGCUCAGUCGGUAAGCGUUUGACUUCAGCUCAGGUCAUGAUCUCACGGUUUGUGAGUUCAAGCCCCACGUCAGGCUCUGUGCUGACAGCUCAGAGCCUGGAGCCUGCUUUGGAUUCUCUGUCUCCCUCUCUCUGUGCCCUUUGCCCACUCACACUCUGUCUCUGUCUCUCAAAAAUAGAUAAGCAUAAUAAAUAAAUAAAAUAAGUAAAUAAAAGAUAAGUAUGUGUUGGUAGUUUGGCUGUGGAAUAUUAAAAAAAAAGGAGACCAAGGAUAGCUUCCAAGUUAUGGGCCUAAACAACUGAAAGAACCAUGUUGCCAUUUCCUUAGAUGGAGAAGACUGAGAAGAGAAAAUUUUGGAUGAA
Long non-coding RNA from Acinonyx jubatus (cheetah), 4327 nucleotides. RefSeq lists it as uncharacterized. The transcript has 2 exons. Lineage: Eukaryota; Metazoa; Chordata; Mammalia; Carnivora; Felidae. The record is from RefSeq and is a predicted model, not a curated record.